This 406-nucleotide ribosomal RNA is filed under the name bacterium. Its description in RNAcentral is "partial 16S ribosomal RNA". It matches the Rfam family "Bacterial small subunit ribosomal RNA", at positions 355 to 776 of the family's 1533-position model. The record is from RNAcentral.
CAAGGAAUUUUCCGCAAUGGGCGAAAGCCUGACGGAGCAACGCCGCGUGCAGGAUGACGCAUUUCGGUGUGUAAACUGCUGUUCGGGGGGACGAAGCACUGACGGUACCCCCGGAGGAAGGCCCGGCUAACUACGUGCCAGCAGCCGCGGUAAUACGUAGGGGCCAAGCGUUGUCCGGAGUUACUGGGCGUAAAGCGUGCGCAGGCGGCUCGUUGCGCCCGACGUGAAAGCCCCCGGCUCAACCGGGGAGGGUCGUCGGGGACGGGCGAGCUUGAGGGUGUCAGGGGCUGGUGGAACUCCCGGUGUAGUGGUGAAAUGCGUAGAGAUCGGGAAGAACACCCGUGGCGAAGGCGGCCAGCUGGGACACACCUGACGCUGAGGCACGAAGGCGUGGGGAGCGAACGGG